This 465-nucleotide ribosomal RNA is filed under the name uncultured bacterium. RNAcentral describes it as "partial 16S ribosomal RNA". It matches the Rfam family "Bacterial small subunit ribosomal RNA", at positions 29 to 507 of the family's 1533-position model. The record is from RNAcentral.
AAUGAACGUUGGCGGCGUGGAUUAGGCAUGCAAGUCGAGCGAGAACCCCGCAAGGGGGGACAGCGGCGAAAGGGACAGUAAUGUGUAGAUUAUCUGCCCUCAGGUCCGGGAUAGCUGCGGGAAACUGCAGGUAAUACCGGAUAACAUCUCCGGAUCAAAGGUGUGAUUCCGCCUGAGGAUGAGUCUGCAUCCUAUUAGCUAGUUGGUGGGGUAAUGGCCUACCAAGGCAUUGAUGGGUAGCAGGUGUGAGAGCACGACCUGCGUCAUUGGGACUGAGACACUGCCCAGACACCGACGGGUGGCUGCAGGCGAGAAUCUUCGGCAAUGGGCGCAAGCCUGACCGAGCGACGCCGCGUGUGGGAUGAAGGCCGUCGGGUUGUAAACCACUGUCAGAGGGGAUGAAAUGCAGGUGGGUUCUCCCAUCUGUUUGACAUAGCCUCAGAGGAAGGACGGGCUAAGUUCGUG